GCGAAAUCUUAACCGUCUAUCUCAUCUGAACUUGUGAUGUCUGCAAUGGGACCUAUAGAUGGACGAUCGAGAUCUGCAUGUUCAAGAAUAUGUGCAUGUGCACGGCCUUUGUUGUACUAGCCAUUGGGCUUUUGAUUCGUAGGCUGAGGCUCACUGAUCAUAUUAGUUAUGGACCUGGUGUCGUAUAAUCUGUGGGUUUGGAUUUCAUUGUGGGAUGGAG
RNAcentral lists this unclassified non-coding RNA (220 nucleotides) under Hevea brasiliensis (rubber tree). The record is from RNAcentral. Lineage: Eukaryota; Viridiplantae; Streptophyta; Magnoliopsida; Malpighiales; Euphorbiaceae.